AAUUAGCUUGUAUUAGAGAACACUGAGCUGAUUAGUCAUCUUGAAGUGUGGCUUGCUCUAGUUAUUUUUAGCAGCAGUAAAACAUACUUCUUUUCCUGCAUUGCCACUGUCUUGUAUUCAUAGGCCUGACUACUACCUAAAAUAUUAUCCACACAGAGAUUUGCGUGGGCAAAGAACAACAAUGCAGUGGGAGGUUCUUAGGACAUAUGGGAAAACGGGUCUGUUCAUUUGUUUGUUCAUGUAUGUUUUUUUUCUUUCCAAAUGGCUGUGUGCAGGAAUAUGAAAUGUAGAUUUUGAUGAAGUCACCUUCCCCAACUGUCUUUUCUGGUUCUGUCUGGAUCCAAACCUUACCAUGCAAAUUAUAAGCACAAACUGGCGUUUUAGUCUCUCUUGCCUGCAUGGUGCUUACAAAAAUAUCCUCACUGUGCUCCGAACUCUGUGAAGGCAAUGAUCCCAAGCUUCCAGUUAAGGUCACUAAUCUCUAACUUCAAAAUAUAAACACAAGUAGAAAACAUUGCCUAUAUUAACUCCUUUUUUGAGUUCAUAACAUUGGUUUCCCAUGAAUUGAUUACCUAUCUUUUUUCAAAAAAGAACUUUGCUUACAAAUACACCUGUGAUAUGUUCUUAUCUAAGUUGAAAAAAAAAGCAUGAUAUAAUUAUUAAGAACUGAACAAAGGUUACAGGAAACAUGGUAUGAUAUGGAGCACUUAAUUACCAUGCCAGCCCCCAGAUACGACUGAGUGGCGGUGACUAACAGGUG
RNAcentral lists this long non-coding RNA (760 nucleotides) under Homo sapiens (human). RNAcentral's name for it is "non-protein coding lnc-TM4SF4-5:1". The record is from RNAcentral. Lineage: Eukaryota; Metazoa; Chordata; Mammalia; Primates; Hominidae.